GGUGCUGCUUCCAGCGGUUUAGUGCUGUCGUUGCCUGAUAUGCAAGGAUCUGGAAAAACGGCAGGAAGCAUAAGGGGGUUAAAAGCUCCGGCAGCUCCACC
Molecule: transfer RNA, 101 nt
Filed under: Lacrimispora sphenoides
Lineage: Bacteria; Bacillati; Bacillota; Clostridia; Lachnospirales; Lachnospiraceae
Description: [Clostridium] sphenoides tRNA-Ile(gat)
Source: RNAcentral